Molecule: long non-coding RNA, 2519 nt
Organism: Xiphophorus hellerii (green swordtail)
Lineage: Eukaryota; Metazoa; Chordata; Actinopteri; Cyprinodontiformes; Poeciliidae
Exons: 6
Source: RefSeq, a predicted model, not a curated record
CAGAUGCAUUUUUUAUUCAAAUUCUGAUGGCACAUAUUUACUUCCAUAAACAGCCUCACUGAAUUAUUCAUUCAAAGGUUUAGCAGCAAAAAGAGUUUUAGGAUUGAAAAUGUUUAUUUUAUUAAUAUAUAGUUUCAUUAAAAUGCAAUUAAUUAAUUACACACCCUGCAAAAACCUUGACUAAAGAUUCACUAAUAUUAAAGAAAAUAAUCGACAUGAAUAAAUUUAUUGCUUUUGUUUGUUGUAGAUUUCACCACUAAAAUGCAAAAAAAACAAUCCCAUGACUCAAAAUAAAAUAAGUGUGAAUAAAUAAAGUAGAUUCUUAAGGAAUUAAAACGUUGCUGUUUGGUUCCUCAGGACUGAUUCCCCGCUGACGGAGGGCAGAGGAGGAACCAUCAGCAGUCUGGCUGAGCACUGACUGCUGCAUCUGAGCAUGCGUUCCUGGAAGUUGAAGGUCAGUGAAAGGAGAAGCAAACAGCAUCACUUCUGUCAAUCAGGAGAGGCGCGUUCCAGACAGGAAGGAGGGGGAGCUGGGAGGAAGUCACAAAAUAAGGUGAAAAAGAGAGAGGAAUGAGAACAGACGAUAAAUAAUUGAUCCGCCGCUGAGCAGAGCUUUUAAAGAGCGACACCGUCACACCGCAGCACUCGACACAACGUAACCCAGAUAAAUCUGUUUGAACAAAUGUUUGCUUUGCUGCUUUUUCCUUCUGCCAGGUUCAUCAGAAAGCGAUCCAACAUGGCCGAAAGCCUCUGGGAGCCGAGAGGAGGAGUUGUUCUUUUCCAUUCCUUCUGGCUUUUUAUGCACAGAGUGACCUGUUAACAAGCUAAACACACUGACAUUAAAACAUUUGGAUGAUGGCUGAUGGAGGGAAUCAUUUGUUGAUUCAUAAGCCACAUUGUUCACAGCAUAUUUACGUGGUUAAGUUCAGUGUGAAUGAAUAGUACCUCAGUGAUUAAAGGUGUAAAGUGUUAAUUAUUAUCACACCUUCAUCCAGUGGAUUCGUUUAUCCUCAGGUUAAAUGUAGAAACCAGGAGAAGCAGCAGAUCGCUGGGCUUCAGUCAAACACUCUGCAUUCUGCACAACAAACUACAAUCAGACAAAAUAACUACAAGCUAACAGUCACUAUAAAACCUCCUGACGGUGGAUUUCGUCACAGGAAGUCGAAUCGUUUUCUUUCUGAAGGCAAAACAAAACCAGGAACGGAUGGCUGAGUCAGACCAGAGACUUUAAACUCCGACUGCUGUCAUCCUGCCGCUGAAAUUAGCUGAAUCAGAUCAUUUGACCUCAAAAACAAAAUGUCACAUUGCAGCGAGACUUUUAUCUUCAGGACAAAUUACAGUGGAGUGAAAGAAAGGUUUUUUUUCCAGAGAAUGAAAACUGAUUUGUGAUCCAGCAGGAAGAGCUUCAGCCUGAAGCAGAAGCUGAGUUAUGAAAGUCAGGAAGCUUCACGUUUCACGACCAACAUCUCAGCCACCGGUGAUCCAACAUGGCUGCCUGACUGACUGUCAGGCUGAGAGACAAGCUGACAGUUUUCCUCCUGGAAUCCUGAUGGAGACGAGUCAGCAGGUUUCCUGAGACUGGCAGCCGUUGUGGAUCUGGAUCGUGUUUCAGCUGAAGACAGACUGGCGGUUGGAGCCGUCCACACAGAGGGACGUCGAUAUGUAACCAGUGACUGGCAGCUGGAUUUGAUUCCGCCUCUUCAGGGGAACCCAAACCCGACCCACACUCACCGUGGUCCUGCUGAGCGUCUUUCACGCCGAGUCUUCAUCUUUUAACCUUUGACCCGUCCAUACGGAGACGCUUUCAGAUAAACAACAGCAAAAUAAACAGCCCGGUGCCCAACGCGGCUCCUGACAGGCAGAAGUGACAGCUGCUGGAAAAAUCCGGUUCUGAAGUUCAGACUGAAAGAAUAUCAAUCAUCCUCACCAGAAAACACUCGGGUGGCAGACAUGGAGAACCGGCGGUGCUCAGACGCUGAAGGGAACGUAGAUGAAGGAAUGAUAAAUAUUUUCAUCUCCACUCAGUCGAUUAAACAUCAACUGGUCAUCGCUUCAUCAGCUGUUUGUUCACAGAGUGUUCUCCAAGCAUAUUAAUGGGAAAUUGAGUGGAAGAAAAAAGUGGCUUUAUUCUUCAUAAAGAAUAUGAAGGAUGUACAUUUUGAGUUAAAAUGUUUUCACAAAGUUAGCAGGUUCUUACAUGGUAUUUAAAGACGAGGAAGGAAAAAGAUGAAUAAACCGAUUUGUGUCUGUUGGAGCGAAGCAGAACGUUGAGGCUCAUUCACUGAACCGCAGUGACUGGAUGUGAAACAGGAUGUUAGUUUGUGUUAUUAAUUGAAAAACAUCAACAUUUAUGAAAAUCAAUGUGCAGCUCUGAUCUUGGAUAUUUGAUUGAAACUUGGUGCUGAUGUAGUAAUGAUUUGUUCCCUGGCUCUGUUUCCUGCAGAUUGUGCUGCAGAUGCUUCACUGCAGCAUCUCAGAGGCUGCAGCAACGAGCUUUACAUGAAAUGCUGCAGCUUUAC